UCCAAUGGAAUUGUAGUUAGGAGCCAUU
Molecule: non-coding RNA, 28 nt
Filed under: Mus musculus (house mouse)
Lineage: Eukaryota; Metazoa; Chordata; Mammalia; Rodentia; Muridae
Source: RNAcentral